This 307-nucleotide unclassified non-coding RNA is filed under the name Aromatoleum tolulyticum. RNAcentral describes it as "Azoarcus tolulyticus Long range pseudoknot". Lineage: Bacteria; Pseudomonadati; Pseudomonadota; Betaproteobacteria; Rhodocyclales; Rhodocyclaceae. The record is from RNAcentral.
ACUGACGAGAACGACUACCAGAUCAAGCUGCGCAAUCUGAAGCGCUUCCUUGAGGAAGGUGACAAGUGCAAGGUGACGCUGCGUUUCCGUGGUCGGGAGAUGGCGCACCAGGAAUUCGGCCUGCGUCAGCUCGAGCGGGUCAAGGCCGAUCUGGAGGAGUUGGGCCAGGUCGAGCAGAUGCCCAAGAUGGAAGGGCGUCAGAUGGUCAUGGUGAUUGCGCCGAUUCGCAAGAAUCGCUGAGCGCGACGGAGAAUCUGCUUUCCGCUUUCGGGCGGGAGGCAAACCCCGGUGGACGUUGGCCGCCGGA